RNA transcript from Ipomoea triloba (trilobed morning glory), 3326 nucleotides. It is a transcript of the gene named inositol-pentakisphosphate 2-kinase-like, with no coding region annotated. The record is from RefSeq and is a predicted model, not a curated record. NCBI's taxonomy places the organism in Eukaryota, Viridiplantae, Streptophyta, Magnoliopsida, Solanales, Convolvulaceae. The transcript is spliced from 9 exons.
CCUAAACCCUACCUUAGAGUAAAAAGCUUGCACUCUUAUGGCCUCACGCUUCACGCAGUCCGCAAGUCGCCUAAGCUUGUAACUUGUAAGCUUCCCAGCCUUAACGGAGUUUACAUUGCUGUCGCUGCACAAGCACAAUCACAACCACCGUCGUCCGUCGCCAGGAGCCCAGUAUCCGCCUCGCCCUCGUCGGUCACAGCCAGCCAUCGCCGACUCGCCCGUUUUAGCUUGCCAUGGCCGAUUCGCUUGUCACCGUCGGGCUCGCAGCGUCGGAACACCAAGCCUAACACUGCUAACACUUUGCAUUAUCAUCGGUGGGGUACUAUUCCGUGUAUCCGGUCUCCAACUCGGAGAAUAUCUACGGUUUAGCCCGCACUGAAUCCUAAACCUCCCAUGCACAUUUCCAAUCUUAGGUACACUCAGUAGAAUGGCGAUCGUUUUAGACGUGAAAGACGCGAGAGAAUGGUCUUAUAGAGGCGAAGGAGCUGUCAAUCUGGUUCUUUCUUAUCGUGGAACCUCUCCACAUUUUCUUGGAAAAGUUUUGAGGAUACAAAAGGUUCCAACAAAUGGGUCUGAAAAUGAGAAUGGUCAUCCAGGUCUAACCAUGCAUGAAAUCAUCCUUUGGAAAGAUGUGAAAGAGCUUGCAUCAGCCCCUACUAGGGAGAUUGCAGAGCACUUCUUUGUCCAGCAUGUAAUGUGCCCAUUAUUGGGUUCUGAGCAUGUUGAUGCUGGGAUUCGCAUCCUUGUAUCCAGAGAAUUUCUAGAGGAAGUUGAAAAGAAUGUCCUUCGCAAGCGCCCUACUUGGCGGGUUGAUGCUGCUAAGGUCAAUCUCCGGAGUGAUUCUAUUUUACUGAUGUCUGAUCAUUCAAUAUUUCCCCAUGUUACACCUCAAGAGGAACUGUGCAUAUGCGUUGAAAUAAAGCCCAAAUGUGGGUUCCUUCCAGUUUCAGAAUUUAUUAUAGAAAGUAAUGCUCUUAAAAGGAGAACCACUCGUUUCAAGAUGCACCAGGCUCUGAAGUUUCAUCAAGGGAAGAUAUCAUAUAUAAGUGGAUAUGAUCCACUUGAUAUGUUCUCUAGGUCUAAAGACAGAUUAGACAAAGCAAUCAAGGAUCUUUUUAUGACCCCACAGAAUAACUUUCGAGUUUUUGUGAAUGGUGGUCUCAUAUUCGGGGGCUUUGGUGGUGGUGCAGAAUCUACAAAUUCUAAAGCUGGUCAGGCAUUUGAAGAUGCACUCAAGAAUAUAAUUUUUGCAAAAGAAGAAGGGAUGCGUACGGAAUUUUUUCUUGAGCUCAUAUCUGAGGCAGUUUUCAGUUCAGGAUUACUAAAUCGACUUCUUGAAGUCCAGAAGCUUGAUAUUUUUGACAUUGAGGGUGCAAUUCAUGUGUAUUACAAUGUUAUUUCUCAGCCCUGUAUGGUUUGCAGAGAUUUAGGCAAUGACUUGUCAAAAAGGUUUAACACCUUGCAUUCUAUUUCAAUGGAAGAAAGUUGGAAGAUAUUGAGGGACUAUUUAAUAGCUGCUACUGCAAAGGACUUGAGUAUGAUGAUUAGUUUUAGACCUCGAGAAGAUGGGAAACGGGAAUCUUCAUAUAGUCUUGUCUCCUUAAAGUCCACCAACCAAAAUUUUGAUUACAAGGCAUCUUUCAUUGACCUGGACCUGAAACCUCUAAAAAAGAUGGAGUACUACUAUGAAUUGGACAAGAAGAUAGUCAGCAGUUAUGUAAAGAUGGUAAAUUCAGGAAAGGGGAUGGCUUGUUCAUAUUAAUUCAUUGCUGCAGAAGAUACUGUGUACAAAGAUGUUCUGGUAACUGAUUGAAAUGUUUGGAGCAUAUUCUUUAGUAACCUUGAUGAUUUCUCUGAUUCUUCCUGUUUGUGUUUGUUAAUUGAAGUUUUAUUGGUUGUGGAUAGUGUCCAUUUAUAAGAGUAAAGAGACAUGAUGAAUUUGAACCAAGAAAUUUAGGGGAUUAUGAUAUUAUACAGUAAAACACAAAGGAAAAAAAACAAGGGGAUUUUAAGAAUAUCCCUCCAACAAGAAUGAAUUCUUGCCCUCUGCUACUUAGAGCUAAUUGUUCCAAUUCCGCCGGAUGCCCUCUCUUCUAACAGGGUCUCCCUGUUUAUAAUGUAUUACCAUAUGUAAAAUAAGGAAGGAGCAUCAAUUAUUUAUUACAUAAUCAAUCAAUCCCUAAUUACAUGCUCUAUAAAAUAAGCAAAGAAUUAGAUAAUCAGUCAAUCCUUGAUUAUAUGCUUCCUUGAAUUUUGCCACAUGAAUGAUUAUUUGAUUACUUUCCUUUCCUGCCUGAUUUGUAUCAUCCGAUCCAUGGCCAAGGAAGGAAAAUGUGAAUAUUCAAGGAAGAGCAAUCUAUAUACAAUUAAGUUUAACCUGUAAAUCAAGUUUUGACUAAUUUAAAUACAACUACCAAUAUGGCUUUGGAAAAUCAUUGCUUUACAAGAGGUGUAGUUAGAAUAAAUAUACAUUGAAAGUGAUUUCAUUGCUUUAGGGAGAGGCGUGCAAAAUUGGUAGACAUAUGGAGGCACAAGAGAGAGGAAGAAGUAGGAAGUGAACAUGAAAUUCCGUCCUCAGGGAAACAUUAUUUUCUUUAUUAGAAAAGAUGCUGUUCUGUUAUGCAAUUUAGGCUGUCCUCAUUAAUCAAAGAUUCUGAUCUUUCCUUUGCUCUCUCAUAAUUUGUGCUAAUCAAUGACUUCCUGUAGAGCUGGAAGAGUCUGAUGGUUCAGCAUGCUUCUCUCAUUUAAAACUCUCAAUCCGAGGAGUUAUUGCCUCAAGCAAAAUGGAUACAUGGAAAAGCUAGGAGGGCUUGCUUCAAAGUCAGGAGUAUUCUGUACUUGAAUCAGCAAGAAAACAGUGGUGUCAGUGGAUCUUCGUUGUUCAAAGUGCAGAUUUAAGGUGAUGAAGUUAAUAUCAAGAGUAGAAGGGAUUAACUCCAUUGCCCUUGAUGUUGUCAAAAGUACAGUGACAGUGAUUGGCGAGGCUGAUCCAAUAUGUAUCAUCAAACAAGUUAGGAAAUUCAGAAGAUCUGCGCAAAUAACAAGUAUAGGCCCUCCCGAGCAGGAAAAGAAGAAAGAAGAGAAGAAAGAUGAGAAGAAGGAUGCUAAGAAAGAUGAGAAGAAAGAUGAGAAAAAAGAUGCUGUUUGUUCUCUUCCCAGUACUACUUGUCAGAGAUGUCAUGUCUGGUAUGCUAUAGGGGAAGAUCACUAUAGUCAUUGUAACAUCUUAUGAUCAAAGUUUCUUAUAAUUUUCUGUUUAUAAAUCUCCCAUCUAUGGCUAUUUGUGAUCUGAAUCUAAUCAAUCUAUCAUCAACCAUUCUUUGCGA